UGAAGCCUCUUGUCCAGGUGUCUCUGCAUGC
RNAcentral lists this non-coding RNA (31 nucleotides) under Homo sapiens (human). Lineage: Eukaryota; Metazoa; Chordata; Mammalia; Primates; Hominidae. The record is from RNAcentral.